AUGUACCACGCGUACACUGCGGUUCCUCACGUGCCGUCCGCACCCACCUGACGCCUGCUCGCUACGUUUUGUUAGCC
Molecule: small RNA, 77 nt
Filed under: Xanthomonas fragariae
Lineage: Bacteria; Pseudomonadati; Pseudomonadota; Gammaproteobacteria; Lysobacterales; Lysobacteraceae
Description: sX9 sRNA
Rfam family: Xanthomonas sRNA sX9
Source: RNAcentral